GGGGCCCUGCAGGCAGUCUGGGCCCUUACGUGCCCUCUCUUUACACACACGCAGAUGUACACACACACACACACACACACAUACACACACUCCGGCACACAGAGGAGUUGAUGUGUAAGACACGCUCUGAUCCCGCAUGCUGAUGAUGAAAGACAGGCAGCCGGGCUCCUGUCUUAGUGCCAGAGGGCAAGACCUGAUAGAAACCCACUGAUUCUUGAUCCUCCUCCUCCGUCUUCAUCACUGUUGGAAUAAUUUGAAUUUCACCACAGUUUUAUUUUGCUGCUUAUUUUCCUCUCUCAUUUUAAACAGCAGCUUCUGCUGCUCCUCUGGUUUUUGUUUAGCUUUAUUUUGGUAGACACUGGCAAUCAGCAGGUCAAAAGUUGAGGUCUAAAGUUGAAGAGUUGUGCAGUUCUCAUUGACACAAACAGUAGAAAAAAAAAGAAGUGUUGUUUUCUUGUAUGAAAAACUACUUUUGUCUGAUUAACAUUUCCUGCAGAAGUGUGGUUGUUGUAUUAAUCCUUGGCUCGGUGUGCCAGAAUGCAUUUCUUCUUGUUUUUACGUGCAUAGCCCCCAGCCUCACACCUGGCCUGGCAGGAGAUACACUCUCACCCCUCCUCCUCCUCCUCCUCUGACUCUUCUCCUGCUUCUUCCAUCAAAACCGGCAACCUCCAGCUCCACCCAUAACAGGGAGGGACCGUGCAAGACCCCUUCUGGGUUCUUCAAUCACAUAAACAGCACUCUCAGGUUUGAAUGAAACCUGUUGCCCACAUUCCAGUGCACUUAAGGGAAAGGAUGUACCGUGUGUGUGUGUUUGGGGCAGAUGGCCUGGGUGAUGAAGGCAUAAAUUAGCCUGUGCGAGGAAGGGAGAUCCCCCAUUGUUCUGAUGGAUUGCACACACACACAGACACACACAUGCCUACACGUUCACGCAAGCCCGCCUGAGUCUAGCUCAAGCUGGAAGAUCACACACACUCUCUGUCACAGCCUCUCAGAUCAAGCUGCCCAGAGCUUCCUGUAAUCCCUCCUCUGUAACAUUAAUUAUAAACUGGUGCUUUGUGCCCCGCGGACCAACCGUGACUUUCCCAGGACAAUUAAAGUUACUCAGGAGUAGAAGGGGGAUUGGGUGGAAAAAGGAGGGAAAGGGGAUCAGAGAGUGAGUCAGAAGGAUUUGACUACAACUGCGUAUAAGAGCGCUGAAAUCAGGCGACGGGUGAGAUGAGAGUGGGGAGUUUGGGCCUGGCCAUACAGGAUGUUGAACUUCAGUUGGCGUAGGGAUAAGUCGCAGGCACUGGAGCUUUUUAUAUUGUUCUGUAAGUGAGGCUUUUAGCAUAAGCUUUGGUCCCAGAGUCGAGGGUUGAACGGGGUCUGGGUGGGCAGAAGCCCGGCCAGGGCGGAUGUGGAUUAGGGGGCGUCUCAUGGGAGUAGCUGGCUUGUGCGUGGGAAAUGUGACCUGGUUUCACUUCUUCGUGAACAUAAACGAAAUGUAUAAAGUUUCCAAACACUUUUCGCCAUCACUUCCCAUCUGACUGAUUCUCUUGGCCCCUGUGACUUGGAGUGACUUCUCUUGCUACCGUGCUAAAUCAUUGCACGGUACAGCACUCUCCCUGGGGUAUGCAUUGAUUGCUUGAAUAUCUGUCCCACUAGCUGCUGACCUUUAACAGGCCCUCAAAUCUCUAAAUCCUGUUUGAGUGGCUUUUUAACAUCCUACCAAGCAUGACUCACUCUGUAGAGGGCACCUGUGUGACGCCUGUGUUGGCCUACAACAAGUGUAAAAAAAAAAAAAAAAAUCAUUCAAAUGCUGCCCAAAAAAGAAAAAGCUGUUUUCAGAUUGUGGCUGACCAAGCAGUGUCCCUGCCCUGCCCUUUGCCUUCUAGCUUCAAGACAACUUUGCUUCUGCAGCCCACUGUGCCAAAGGCAAUCCCUUUCAUGUUGCUCCUGAUCUGUUUGCAACAUUUGAUUUCUAGAUAACAAGAGGAAAGAUUGUUAUCUGGCCGGCCACUGAAGUGGUUCAUUUGACAGAUGUUGUUAUCCCAAAUGGAUCUGAUAGGCUGUUGUUUAAUCCCGUUAAGGCACCUUGCUCGAGGACAUGAGCCCAACUUCCUCAGUGACGCCCUUUCUCUGAACCCUUGACCCCUCACUGUGGCCAGUGAUCGAAUACUCCCACAUGUUUAAUUUAUAUACGCAAAUAUUUUGCAACUAUGAAUCAGGCUUUCCUGUGGUGUCAGAUAAGUUAUGAGCAAUUUUUGCUUCUCCCAAUCUGCUCAGAAGAUGGCCAUGGCCACACAGAUGUAAAAUUGUACAUUUUUUUUAGUGUGAGUAAGGCUUUCCCCAUAGUUUUACAGAUCUGACUGAUUUACCCCAGAGUCUUAGUACCAGAAAUGCUCAGUAUAUCAAUUUAAAAGUUAAUGAGGGAGAAAUUUGCCUGACUAAUGACUUUUUUUAGCUCUUUUUUAAUAUCUAAAAAAAAUCAUGAUGUGGUAAGGAUAAAGCGUGGUCUACCACACAAUAGAGUCAGAGGACAAAGCAGGAGGUUGAAGGUAGACCGAGAGUACCGACACCCCCCUGCAAUCCACGCUAAGUGCGCUAAAGGCAGAAAAGCUGCAUAACAACAAAUGGGAAUAUCUUCUUUCUUGGUGAAAGAGAGCAAGGGCAGGUAUUGCCUCUGUCCACGGAAAUAUUUUGGACUUGUAAACAAGGCCUUGGCAUAAUAUUACCGCUUUCUUGGCUGCUUUUGUUUACAUACCCUAGAUACUAGAGAGAAAGAGAGAGAGAGAGAGGGUUUUUUUUUUUCUAUUUUUCUCCUUACAUGAAGAGAAAAGCUCGUGGUUAUAGUUGUUCUUGAGUGUGUUGUCUUUUUUUCUUAUCUCUUGACCCCUCAGGAAUAAAGCAGUCAAUCUCUCCAGUAAGAGCUAAGUGUUCAUGUUCACCUUAGAGGACUCUGUACUGUUUUAAAUAUAAUGAUAAAGAAGGAGCUUGAAACAAAAAUUUUGUCAUCUCAAAUGUCACUGAAUAUAAGAGAAAGUUCAGUCAGGUCAUACAGCAGUCUGUAUUCUAGGGCUAGGACCUGCCAGGUAUGACACAACUAUAAGUUACAAAACAAUACUAUCGAUUUUCUCUGUCAUGUUUACAGAUUAGUUGGAUUAAAACUAACCUCAGCGUUCUGCACAUGCUCCUGUGUGUUAAAUAGCACAAAUGCAUAGCUAGAAAGCCUGGUCGUAAACAAAACCUUGACAGACAAAGAAAGAACAUAAAAAAAGAUGAACAGUUUGGUAACACUUUACUUGAUGCCUAUCUCUAUAACACAUUAUAAAUAUAUGUACAUGUAUAAUACAUUAUAAUCACAUUAUAGCACUGUAUAUAACACUGCAUGUGUUAUGGUUAUUGUUAUAAAGCCUUAUGAUUAUAAAUGAGUGUUUAUAAUGAUAGUUACACAAGUUUAUAAGUAAAUUAUAACACAUCCUAAAUACAUGUAUAAUGCAUAUCUAUGUGGGCAUUGUCAGUGAGUUGUUAACAGUUACAACACAUUAUAAUAUCUGACCUUUUAAGUCAUGAUUAUGUGUUAUGAUUAUUGCUAUAAAGCAUUAUGAUCAUUUAUGAGUGUUUAUAACUAUAUAUAAUGCGUUAUAGAGAGAGGCCUCAAGUAAAGUGUUACCAAACUUUUCUAUCCUACAAAUAAACAGUACAUAGCUGUGAAAAGUGACGGUGUUUUCAAUGUUUGACAGAUAUCCUGUUUGCCUCUAGGCAGCGCUUCUUGCGAACUGUUUUGAUACAUAAUGGGUUAACCAGGAGACGGCUUGAUAGUAACAAGCUGAUAGUCAGCUGUAAUAAAGCCAGAUGUGCCUCUGUUGAUAUUCCAUUCAUGCCUGGUGCUUGUAAACUGGGACAAGGACAGUAGUCCAGUUAAAUGGAGCUAUGACCGUAACUCAACGUCACUGUGCACAUACUGGUUGAGUUGCAGUGGCGUUUUACCAGAGAAAUAAAUAGAAAUUUCUUUCAGAGUCACUGAACCUCUGAUAACAUCUCUUACAAAAUGCUAUCAGCCUCUCAGAGACUUGAGAUGUUGACACAGCUAAUAUGUGACGCAUUAAGGUAGCUUGUAAAGAGUGUGCUAUCUAAUAUGGAUUAAGUGGAGUGGAACACUGAAGUGGAUGUGCAGACAAAGUUUGCACAGUUUGGUUUUGUUGAAUGAACAAACUUCAUGUGUGCUAGUUAUCCUUUUCUUCAUUCCAGAGCCAUGCUGUGAAGACGGUAGCACCAACUAAUGACCCUCAGCGAAUAUGUGCUGAACAAACCAGACCUUUUAAAUCACUGAAAUUAACACCGCAGCUGCCAACACUUGACUCCAACAACCACUUACAUGUCAAUGGCCUUUACCAUAAUCCUGUGCCCAACGAUGAGUGUGUGCAGGCGAGAGUGGGUGGAGAGGAGAAACUUGAUUGCUGCAACCUGUGCGAGGCUGAAAGAGUUGUAUCCAGCAGGCCGGCGGUCUUGCGGCGUCUAUGGUUAGGUCAUCUUCUUGUUGAAAGCUGAAGCUCUCUCACAAUGAACAAUGGAGUCAGGAGAUGGGUGUGGCUGUUUGGGGGAGAUGAGGAGAAGGUAGAAGGGUGUUAAAGUGACUGAAAGGGAGCGACUUAGCGAGGAUGGGGGCAGCAAGGUGAAACCAGGAAUGUGGCGGUGAUGAGGUCAUACCUGUGUGUGCAUGUCUUUGUGUGUGUGUGUGUCCCGAAGACGGUGUUCGCUUCACAGCCCCUUGAGGCCCUGUCAGAAGUGAUGUCAUGGGAAACCAUCACAAAGGCCGUCUCGGCUGUUUGUAAACUCUUUUCAUUUCCUUGUUAGAAUCUCAGGGCCAGAUAAAAGCCUCAGCUCUGACCCCCUGAACAAAAACACAACAUGUCUGAAGGCAGUCUACUGUUACGGUAUCGAGUGAAAAAGUAGCCCAACUUGGUCAAGAUUUAAAUCAUUACUUUUCCUUUCAUGUUCUUCCUCCCUCUCGUCUUUAUUACUUAUCAUUUCUCUUGACCAUAAACACUCUGAACUGAUCCCAGCUGCCGUCCCGCACAGGGCCCCUUUUCUGUGAGGCGCUGAAAACAGAUCAACUUGGAGGAGCGAGGAACUUGAAAGGAGGGAGCUAACUACAGGGGAUAAACACAUUCCUCCGCUACCCGGCUUGCCCGCUACCGUUACUGCUGCUGCUGCCGGCCAGCGGCAGUGCAGGGGAGCUCACAGCGAGGAGCAUUGUUGCCACAAAGCAAGGUGGUGUCGGGGGGGGGCGAAUAUCCCUGAGCUCCCUUAGAUCUCACAGGCAGCAAGCAGCACUUGACCUUUCCAGCACUAAAGGAAUAUGACAGCCGUGAAGCCGACACAGAGAAUAGCGAGAGAGGCAAAGGAGGGGGAGCAAGAGGCUAGAGACAAAAGCCACACAAAGUGCAGGCUGCCACCAAAACAGUUAGUUUGCAAUCAACGUCAGUCAUCCCUCUUGUCGGGACAGUUUGAUUUCCACCUUUCAAAUGAGGCGCUUAUUUUUGGCCUGAUAACAGCGCUGACUAAAUUGAAAUUGGCAGCUCGACAGUCUGCAGAUAAUACUCAACUACGCCGGAGAUUAUGUGAACAGCCGCUUCUUUUACUUUACCCGAGCCCCCACCCUCCUUCUCCUGUCGAAGAUGAGAAAGGAGGAAAUGAGGGAGGGAGAGAGAGAAAAAAGGGCUAAUCUUAGUCACAAUCAGAGGAGGCUGAGAAGGCAAAAAAAAGGGCCUAAAAAAUGAAGGGGAGGAGGAGAAGAGAGAAGAGGGAACGAGGAGGAAAAAAUAAUGUCCCGGUGAUCAGGAGGAAGGCUGGAGGUGGGUGGGGGUUGAGGGGGGGAGCAGGGUGGGGGUGUACAGGAGAGGUGAGGUUAGAGAGAGAGAAAAGGAGGGAAGGAGGGAAUUUCUUUAAUGUUUCUGGCAGCGAACCAGCUGAGGUCUCAAGGUUAUCCUGGCUUUGCAAACUCCCACGGGAAAGGUGGAGUAGUGAGGGCCGAAGGGGGGGAGACGAGGGCUUGAGGUGGAAGAGAGGAGGGAGAGAUGGCUGCCCUCUUUCUCCAGGAGGGAGGCUAAUGCUCUGGGGGGGGGGGGGGGAAUAAUCCUCGGGGCCCUCAUGUCUGAUAAGGUUGGCCUUGGCCCAGGUAGGAGGAGAAAGAAGGGCUCUGGGGCCUCCUAAGGCCUCCAAGCAGACAGCUCUGCCCUCUGCCAGGUUAGAACAGGAGCCAAACUUAGAGCUGUGAUGAAUUAUUACUCAGGUCAUUAGUUAUAAUCAGGUUAGAGUGAUAACAAUGUAAUACCCCAUUGAUUCCCACUGUGGGACUCUUAUGAGCAUUCUUCCUUCCAGGGAGUUCAAAGGUCAGGGGCAGCUAUUGUAGGGAAGGUGCAGGUCCAAGAGGAGUUCAGCGCCUUGCUUAAGGACAUUUAAGUAGAGCAGGACCUUGUUGACUCUUAACACAACAAGAAGCGAUUGUACAAUCUCUGUCCUGUUAGUGAUGUAUUUUUAAAAUGGGUCAUUUAUCUAAAAUUAGGUUUUCCGUCUUCUUCUAUUCUUCUCCACAAGAUUCCAUUGCAUCCUAUCAUUGCAUGUUUAAUUCAGAGUAGUAGUAUUUACUGAUUUUGUAUAUGUGUAAUUAGUGUUUUGUCAAAAAAGUAUUAUCCUGCCUUCUUUUAACGGCCAAAUAUAUCAUUAAACAUGAGAAAAGGUCGUAUCAGUAGCGUACCAUUUGUUGCCUUGUCCAACACUGAACCGCUGCCAGUGUUUUUAGGCAUAAUAAAUUACGAUCACAUUAUAGUCAGUCUUCUUGAUGACAGAUCCAUGUCCUUUUUAAGAUCCUAAAGAGGCAUUAGUAUCAGUUUCUGUUCCAUGAUCAGUCUGUAACACCUCACAGGAGUUUAAAGAUGGAAGUACAGUCAGUGCAGCAGUGUUCGUGACAGCUUGAAGAGUCUUAUUACACUUUAAUCAGGCCUUCAAACUGUUCAACCUGUCUUACUUUAACCUUUCACCUCCAUCCUCCAACAAAAGUUUAAACUCAUCACCUUCAUGCAAAUGUAAAUAAACCCUGAAUUUUUAUCUGAGGCGAUGACGGGGCUGAUCAGCGACUGCAUGGGAAAGAUCUGCAUCAAUACUCGGGGAAUGUUUGUUUACACUGAACUAGGCCCAUUAGAGAUAAUGAUUCACUGCAUCAAGCUGUCAGUUUAGGGAGCUGUUAUUGUGUGUGUGUGUGUGUGUGUGUGUGUGUGUGUGUGUGUGUGUGUGUGUGUGUGUGUGUGUGUGUGUGUGUGUGUGUGUGUGUGUGUGUGUGUGUGUGUGUGUGUGUGCGUGUGUGUGUGUGUGUGUAACUCGCCUCUUCAAAGGCCGGCCGUCUUAUCUACAGUCAACAAACGGCCACCUCUAGAGGAAAUGAGGAGGCCUCAUGCACCUGUAAUUCAAAUGUCCCAAUACUCACUGAGAGUAAACAAGAAACACUCAGUGAUUAUUGUCCCCCUUCAGUUUUAUGAGGACCUGAUGGUUAAUGGAUAGAAAAAUAAAACAGCAGGCUUGUUAAAUGGAUCAAAAAGGAAAGUGCUGUUUUCAGCGUGGUUUUUGUUUGUUUGUGCAGAGAGAUCAAUUAGAAAAUCCUCGUGUAAAGGCAUGAUUUUUUCCAACAUCAGCCUUACUUGGCCAGUGUGUGCCUCUCUGGGAAGUUAAUUGUGAAUAUAUAGUAAUACUUACAUGUUUAACUGUAGCCUUAUAACCCUAAGAGAUCUAAUUAAAUGCAGAUGCAAAAUGUAAAAGUACAUGUAAAUGUAAAUCUGAUGCCACGCUAUCUUUUAUCUCUGACAGUUUGAGCUCUGUAUACAAAUGUGUCUGCAGUCGGAACAUCCAGUUAAUGGUGGUUACACAGCAUUUGCAUGAGUGGCCCUCGCCCCCCCCCACCCGCACCCGCACCAGCAGCAGCAGAAGCAGCCGUAUUCCCAGUUCGCCCCAGCCUCAGGCAUACUAACCAGGAGACCCAGGCCAACUCA
This is a non-coding RNA of Xyrichtys novacula (pearly razorfish), 8024 nucleotides long. The record is from the annotation of a GenBank genome assembly. NCBI's taxonomy places the organism in Eukaryota, Metazoa, Chordata, Actinopteri, Labriformes, Labridae.